Lycium ferocissimum is the source of this 717-nucleotide long non-coding RNA. RefSeq lists it as uncharacterized. The transcript has 2 exons. NCBI's taxonomy places the organism in Eukaryota, Viridiplantae, Streptophyta, Magnoliopsida, Solanales, Solanaceae. The record is from RefSeq and is a predicted model, not a curated record.
AUCUAACCAAAUUAUUGAAACCCUGUCUAAUAUCUAUCCAAGCAAAAAUAAUUACUUCACAGUCAAAACUCAAAACAUCAAAACAUUGUACGCACUAUGCUCUCUUCCUUCUUCGGCUAGGGUUCUUCCAUCUUGUCAUCUUCAACUUGCUCUCUUCCUUCUUCGGUUAGAGUUCUUAAGUUUGAUCAUGCCGCCUAAAUGUCGAUCACCUAUUUGGGAUCACUACAAAAUGGUGGAGGAAAUUGAAGGAGUGCACAUGACGAAAUGUAUCCAUUGUGGUCAAAUUUACCGUUGUCACUUGAGGAGAAAUGGGACUGAAGGUUUACAGAAACAUGUUAAGAGAUGUCUUGAAAAACAACGAAGAAUUCCCCUGAUGCUGCAAGUUACUUUUGAAGUUUAGACUUUAGACUAUGCAGUUAUAACUUAUGAUGUUGAAGUUUAAUUAUGCACUUGGUGUUGGUGAUUGUUGCUUGCUAUUUUAAUUUGAAACUUUAGACUGUUUUAACUUUAAAUGGUGUGUGAUUUGUGACUGCUGAUUUGGUAGCAAUUUUUUAAAUUUCUAAUGCACUUGGUGACAUUGGUUUUAAGCUUCAUUCUGGUAGCAGUUGCUGGUGUAAUGCCAAAUAAAAUUAGCUAGUUGCUGUUAAAAUUGUGAUGCUCCCUUUUUGUAUGUAUGUAGAACUAAGGUUGAAGUCUUUUUCCAGAUGGGUAAGUGAA